Molecule: ribosomal RNA, 978 nt
Filed under: Triticum aestivum (bread wheat)
Lineage: Eukaryota; Viridiplantae; Streptophyta; Magnoliopsida; Poales; Poaceae
Description: partial small subunit ribosomal RNA
Source: RNAcentral
AUGGAUGCGCCGGAUUCCGCGGCGCUGCGCGUGGGGAUCAUCGGGUUCGGCAACUUCGGGCAGUUCAUCGCCGGGGGCAUCCAGCGGCAGGGCCAUGCCGUGCUGGCCACCUCCAGAUCCGACUACUCCGACUACUGCGCCGCCCACGGGAUUCGCUUCUUCAGAAGCCUGGAGGCGCUGUGCGAGGAGCAGCCGGACGUGCUGCUGGUUUGCAGCUCCAUCCUCUCCACCGAGUCCGUCGUCCGCGCCAUCCCCCUCGCCAAACUCCGCCCCGACACCAUCGUCGCCGACGUGCUCUCUGUAAAGCAGUUCCCCCGCAACCUCCUCCUCGAGAUCCUACCGCCGGAGUUCGGCAUCGUCUGCACACACCCCAUGUUCGGGCCGGAGAGCGGAAAGCACGGCUGGAGCAAUCUCCCCUUCGUCUACGACAAGGUUCGCGUCGCGGAGGAAGGCGCUCAGAAGGCCAAGUGCGACCGGUUCUUGAGCAUCUUCGAGCAGGAGGGGUGUCGGAUGGUGGAGAUGUCGUGCGCGGAGCACGACCGCCACGCUGCGGGAAGCCAGUUCAUCACGCACACCAUUGGGAGGGUUUUGGCGCAGCUAAACCUCCAGUCCACACCGAUCAACACCAAGGGCUACGAGACCCUUCUGCAACUGACGGAGAACACGGUGAGCGACAGUUUUGAUCUAUACUACGGGCUCUUCAUGUACAAUGUGAACGCCACAGAGCAGAUGGACAAAUUGGACAGGGCGUUUGAGAAGGUGAAGCAGAUGCUGUACGGCAGGCUGCAUGGUGUGCUGCGGAAGCAGAUCGUAGAGAGGGUCCCCAUGCCCGGAGCCCCGUUGUUGGGAUCGAGAGAAGCCAAGGACAGCCCUGCUGCGAGCAGAGAAGAGAUGAAGCACCUAUCCCCUCGGGUUGCUGAUGUACCCUCCCCUUGUCAUACGUUUUCCCCGGUGGCUUUCAGCACCGUAAAAUGUUAA